This 583-nucleotide ribosomal RNA is filed under the name uncultured beta proteobacterium. Its description in RNAcentral is "bacterial SSU rRNA". It matches the Rfam family "Bacterial small subunit ribosomal RNA", at positions 67 to 649 of the family's 1533-position model. The record is from RNAcentral. Lineage: Bacteria; Pseudomonadati; Pseudomonadota; Betaproteobacteria.
CGGUAGAGGGGGCAACCCCUUGAGAGUGGCGAACGGGUGAGUAAUAUAUCGGAACGUGCCCAGUCGUGGGGGAUAACGUAGUGAAAAUUACGCUAAUACCGCAUACGAUCUAAGGAUGAAAGCGGGGGAUCGCAAGACCUCGCGCGAUUGGAGCGGCCGAUAUCAGAUUAGGUAGUUGGUAGGGUAAAGGCCUACCAAGCCAACGAUCUGUAGCUGGUCUGAGAGGACGACCAGCCACACUGGAACUGAGACACGGUCCAGACUCCUACGGGAGGCAGCAGUGGGGAAUUUUGGACAAUGGGCGAAAGCCUGAUCCAGCCAUUCCGCGUGCAGGAUGAAGGCCCUCGGGUUGUAAACUGCUUUUGUACAGAACGAAAAGGUCUCUAUUAAUACUAGGGGCUCAUGACGGUACUGUAAGAAUAAGCACCGGCUAACUACGUGCCAGCAGCCGCGGUAAUACGUAGGGUGCAAGCGUUAAUCGGAAUUACUGGGCGUAAAGCGUGCGCAGGCGGUUAUAUAAGUCAGAUGUGAAAUCCCCGGGCUCAACCUGGGAACUGCAUUUGAGACUGUAUAGCUAGAGUAC